Molecule: long non-coding RNA, 2148 nt
Filed under: Equus caballus (horse)
Lineage: Eukaryota; Metazoa; Chordata; Mammalia; Perissodactyla; Equidae
Description: lncRNA (ENSECAG00000045686.1)
Source: RNAcentral
CUUUGCCAGUUUUUAUAAUGUAAAUAUUGUAAAUUUUUUUAUGUAUUUCUAAGUUUUCUUAAUAUUUUUAAAGAUAUUUUCUUUGAUGUUAUAAUUGGUAAAAUAUUCCUUUUUUUCCCAAAUAGACCAUGUUUCAAACACCAUUUGCUGAAUUUUAGGAAAAUGUUGUUAGGAACACAUUCUUUAUCUUAACUAUGCACUUAGUAUUCUAGAGUGUAUUACAAUGCAAUUUAUCCUGAUUCACUGUUCUGACAGUCAGUGGUAACAUCACAGUAUCACUUGGUAAAGAUCCGUGAUACAUUGUGAUAUCUUGUAGAGUAAAUAUCUCUAUCAACUUGUAGAAAUAAAAUAAGGCACAAUUGGGCACAAUUUGCAUGUGCUCCCUCUUACCAAGAAGCACACAAGCAUCAAGCGGUUUUUGAAACUAUACUCACUGAUCUUUGGAGAAUAAUUCCUAAGUCAAGAAAGGAAAUGAUAAUUAUCUUUAAUUGAAAUCUUCUCUUUCUGGACUUUUGCUGGGCUCUCUAUACGCACUAAACAUUCUCAAAACGAUCUGAUAACAUUACUGUUUUUAUUAUUCUCAUUUUACAAAAGAUAAAGGUAUUUAAGAGACUUGGAAAAUCACAAUAGCUAAUUGCCAAGAGGGUCCAAAGUCCAUGCCUUAAAACCUUUGAGCAUAUUCUUGUUCGAGGUGAGCCGGUUAUGCUGCCUAUGACAUUCUUCCAAAGUUAUAGGCACAUCUGGGUGGGGAAUGGAAUGCUACAGGGACCACAGCCCUCCAAGACCUCUCGACCUCAGUAGAACUGGGGGACAGUGAGACAAUCUCCUCCCCAGUCACCCUGUUCCACUGAGGACAAGUAGGAGUCAGAUGUCAGUCUCACCCUUGGUUGACCCCACACUCUAAUCCCGCCUAUGGGCCAUUGUGAGACAGAAACAAAGUAUGGCAGAGGUAAGGCUGGGUUAUUUGCAGAUUUAUUCUCCAAGUAGAUACUGCAGCGUAUUGAAUUGGCUAAACAGCUAACCUGUUUAUUGGGACAUUUAUUGUUCAGCAAUAAACUAAGAUGAUAAAAAUCAGCAAGAAAACUUCAAAACUUCUUCAUCUACCCCAUCCACACCACGGUCAGGCAUUACUGUCCUCAGCUACAUUUUGAAAUCAAAGGGUAGUAGAAACACAAUGCUAUGCCUAAUAACCGCCUGGCUUGUACUUACUUAUGACAUGAUUUAGAUUAUUAUCUGAUGGAACUAUUAUACUUGUGAUUUGUCAAAACCAAUAAAUAGUCAGCAAGUUGUAGGCCUUGAACUUAGUCAUUAGGUCAAUAUUCUUUUUGUUCAAAAUUCUCCAUAACCACCCCUCUCCCAACUGUAGUCUGCUUUACUUUCCCCCGGCACAUUCCCUCUGUUUAUAAGGCUCAGUUCCCAUGGAGGGUCUCCCAUGGAGUGCCUCGUGUCUUGUCCUAACUGCCUGCAUCUGCAUGUUCAUUAGCUCUACCAAGAGAACUAAAUGGGGUCUUACAGCCUUUAUAAACUCUCUUUUUUCACUUUAUACACUUAGGGCUUUGUAUCAUUUUCAAAGUGUAUAAAUUCAACUAUCAUUUUUCAGUUACAAGUUAUAGAAAAUCCAAAUCAAAUAUCCUUACAAAUAUGACUUAUGGGAAUUGAGUAAUGCUGAAAAUUAAUCACGGGUAUUAUUUAUAGGCAUAGUUUGAUGAGGUGGGCAUGACAUCAUCUGAUCUCAGACCCCAUUCAUGUUGUUGUUGUUGUUUUAUUUUGUCCCUUCUUCCUUGGGGUGGCUCCCUUUACAGCCAAGUUGAAGAAGGCAUCUUGGUGAAGUAAACUUCUGAGAUUCAUUCUGACUGGACCAGUUUAGGUCACUCCUACUACACUGGCCGAGAGGAAGGACUAUGCAGGGCCUCACGUUCCACUCACAAAUCCUGGUGUCAGCUUUCCAAGCAGCCCAUGGGCUCUCCACCUCAAAUAUAAAGUGAAAACUGUUAGAUCAUUUCUCGGGUUGACUCCUCAAAAAUCUCAAGCAAAUUCAAACUGUGAGUAUGUUUCCCUGUGCUUGUCCGCUAGACCUCAGACAUCGAUCAGAUGGGACACAUAGCAGAGCAAGAGUCUGUGCCACUUUCUGGCUGUGUGACCUUCAAU